AACGUUGCGUCAGCAACGGCCCGUAGGGCAAGGCGAAGCCGAGUCAUCCUGCACGACCCACCA
RNAcentral lists this small RNA (63 nucleotides) under Salmonella enterica. RNAcentral's name for it is "partial RtT sRNA". It matches the Rfam family "RtT RNA", at positions 64 to 130 of the family's 130-position model. Rfam says of the family: This family represents a bacterial cis-regulatory element known as RtT RNA. The exact function of RtT is unknown although it is thought that it may be involved in changing the cellular response in relation to amino acid starvation. RNAcentral also lists the same sequence under 1 other name. The record is from RNAcentral. Lineage: Bacteria; Pseudomonadati; Pseudomonadota; Gammaproteobacteria; Enterobacterales; Enterobacteriaceae.